RNAcentral lists this ribosomal RNA (253 nucleotides) under uncultured bacterium. RNAcentral describes it as "partial 16S ribosomal RNA". It matches the Rfam family "Bacterial small subunit ribosomal RNA", at positions 524 to 776 of the family's 1533-position model. The record is from RNAcentral.
GACGGGGGGUGCAAGCGUUGUUCGGAAUCAUUGGGCGUAAAGCGUGUGCAGGUGGCUCAGCAAGUCAGAUGUGAAAGCCCCGGGCUUAACCCGGGAAGUGCAUUUGAAACUGCUGAGCUUGAGUAUGGAAGAGGAUCGUGGAAUUCCAGGUGUAGUGGUGAAAUACGUAGAUAUCUGGAGGAACACCGGUGGCGAAGGCGGCGAUCUGGUCCAAUACUGACACUCAUACACGAAAGCGUGGGGAUCAAACAGG